AUAAGGGAAUAAAGUGAGUCUCGUGAGACUUUUUGCAUGUACCUUAUGAAUAGGACCGGCUAAUUCCGUGCCAGCAGCCGCGGUAAUACGGAAGGUCCGGGCGUUAUCCGGAUUUAUUGGGUUUAAAGGGAGCGUAGGCCGGAGAUUAAGCGUGUUGUGAAAUGUAGACGCUCAACGUCUGCACUGCAGCGCGAACUGGUUUCCUUGAGUACGCACAAAGUGGGCGGAAUUCGUGGUGUAGCGGUGAAAUGCUUAGAUAUCACGAAGAACUCCGAUUGCGAAGGCAGCUCACUGGAGCGCAACUGACGCUGAAGCUCGAAAGUGCGGGUAUCGAACAGGAUUAGAUACCCUGGUAGUCCGCACGGUAAACGAUGGAUGCCCGCUGUUGGUCUGAAUAGGUCAGCGGCCAAGCGAAAGCAUUAAGCAUCCCACCUGGGGAGUACGCCGGCAACGGUGCAACUCAAAUGAAUUGACGG
Molecule: ribosomal RNA, 476 nt
Filed under: uncultured Bacteroidota bacterium
Lineage: Bacteria; Pseudomonadati; Bacteroidota
Description: bacterial SSU rRNA
Rfam family: Bacterial small subunit ribosomal RNA
Source: RNAcentral